GGCGCUAUCGUCUAGUGGUCCAGGACACAUGGUUCUCAUCCAUGAAACCGGGGUUCGACUCCCCGUAGCGCUACCU
RNAcentral lists this transfer RNA (76 nucleotides) under Candidatus Curtissbacteria bacterium RIFCSPHIGHO2_01_FULL_34_40. RNAcentral's name for it is "tRNA-Glu". It matches the Rfam family "tRNA". From Rfam's summary of the family: Transfer RNA (tRNA) molecules are approximately 80 nucleotides in length. Their secondary structure includes four short double-helical elements and three loops (D, anti-codon, and T loops). Lineage: Bacteria; Candidatus Curtissiibacteriota. The record is from RNAcentral. RNAcentral also lists the same sequence under 9 other names.